ACAUGACAAAGUCGAGGGGUAACAUUGUGCUUGCACAGAUGACGACCGGCGCACGGGUGCGUAACGCGUAUAGAACCUACCUUUUACAGAGGAAUAGCCUUUAGAAAUGAAGAUUAAUGCCUUAUGGUAUUAUAGACUGGCAUCAGUUUAUAAUUAAAGAUUUAUCGGUAAAAGAUGGCUAUGCGUCCUAUUAGUUAGUUGGUAAGGUAACGGCUUACCAAGACAGCGAUAGGUAGGGGUCCUGAGAGGGAGAUCCCCCACACUGGUACUGAGACACGGACCAGACUCCUACGGGAGGCAGCAGUGAGGAAUAUUGGACAAUGGAGGAGACUCUGAUCCAGCCAUGCCGCGUGUAGGAAGAAUGCCCUAUGGGUUGUAAACUACUUUUAUACAGGAGGAAACACUGGUAUGUAUACCAGCUUGACGGUACUGUAAGAAUAAGGACCGGCUAACUCCGUGCCAGCAGCCGCGGUAAC
RNAcentral lists this ribosomal RNA (476 nucleotides) under uncultured Polaribacter sp. RNAcentral's name for it is "bacterial SSU rRNA". It matches the Rfam family "Bacterial small subunit ribosomal RNA", at positions 53 to 524 of the family's 1533-position model. The record is from RNAcentral. Lineage: Bacteria; Pseudomonadati; Bacteroidota; Flavobacteriia; Flavobacteriales; Flavobacteriaceae.